Non-coding RNA from Oryza glumipatula, 203 nucleotides. The record is from Rfam. Lineage: Eukaryota; Viridiplantae; Streptophyta; Magnoliopsida; Poales; Poaceae.
AAUAAGUACAGCCAUAAGUUUCUGCAUCCAACUUUGAUCGUCCGUCUUAUUUAAAUUUUUUUUAUAAUUAGCAAUUUUGUUGUUAUAAGAUGAUAAAACAUGAAUAGUACUUUACUCGUGACAUAUGUUUUUAAUUUUUUUAAAUUUUUUUAAAUAAGAUGAAUGGUUAAAGUUGGACGCUGAAAACCAUGGCUACACUUUGA